AGCGAACGCUGGCGGCAGGCCUAACACAUGCAAGUCGAACGAACUCUUCGGAGUUAGUGGCGGACGGGUGAGUAACACGUGGGAACGUGCCUUUUGGUUCGGAAUAACUCAGGGAAACUUGUGCUAAUACCGAAUGUGCCCUUCGGGGGAAAGAUUUAUCGCCAUUAGAGCGGCCCGCGUCUGAUUAGCUAGUUGGUGAGGUAACGGCUCACCAAGGCGACGAUCAGUAGCUGGUCUGAGAGGAUGACCAGCCACACUGGGACUGAGACACGGCCCAGACUCCUACGGGAGGCAGCAGUGGGGAAUAUUGCGCAAUGGGCGAAAGCCUGACGCAGCCAUGCCGCGUGAAUGAUGAAGGUCUUAGGAUUGUAAAAUUCUUUCACCGGGGACGAUAAUGACGGUACCCGGAGAAGAAGCCCCGGCUAACUUCGUG
Molecule: ribosomal RNA, 433 nt
Filed under: uncultured bacterium
Lineage: Bacteria
Description: partial 16S ribosomal RNA
Rfam family: Bacterial small subunit ribosomal RNA
Source: RNAcentral